GGGUCAGUAGGUUGGUCGUGCCACCGGUACGUACUGGUCUCACUGAUUCCUCCUUCCUGAAGAACCGUAAUGCCAUUAAUUUGGUGUUGCGGGGAGACAGGACUGUUACUUUGAAAAAAUUAGAGUGUUUAAAGCAAGCUAACGCUUGAAUACAUUAGUAUGGAAUAAUGAAAUAGGACGAUCGAUCCUAUUUUGUUGGUUUCUAGGAUUGACGUA
Molecule: ribosomal RNA, 216 nt
Filed under: Glomeromycotina sp.
Lineage: Eukaryota; Fungi; Glomeromycota
Description: partial small subunit ribosomal RNA
Rfam family: Eukaryotic small subunit ribosomal RNA (bases 40-216)
Source: RNAcentral